GUGAAUGAAGUUCAGUNGGUAGAAUGCUUGCCUAGCAUGCAAGAGGCCCUGGGUUCAAUCCCCAGCACCUCACA
This 74-nucleotide transfer RNA is filed under the name Neotoma lepida (desert woodrat). It matches the Rfam family "tRNA". From Rfam's summary of the family: Transfer RNA (tRNA) molecules are approximately 80 nucleotides in length. Their secondary structure includes four short double-helical elements and three loops (D, anti-codon, and T loops). Lineage: Eukaryota; Metazoa; Chordata; Mammalia; Rodentia; Cricetidae. The record is from Rfam by way of RNAcentral.